AGAGGAUGUGGCUGCGGCCGAUUAGGUAGACGGUGGGGUAACGGCCCACCGUGCCGAUAAUCGGUACGGGUUGUGAGAGCAAGAGCCCGGAGACGGUAUCUGAGACAAGAUACCGGGCCCUACGGGGCGCAGCAGGCGCGAAACCUUUACACUGCACGCGAGUGCGAUAAGGGGACUCCAAGUGCGAGGGCAUAUAGUCCUCGCUUUUCUCGACCGUAAGAAGGUCGAGGAACAAGUGCUGGGCAAGACCGGUGCCAGCCGCCGCGGUAAUACCGGCAGCACGAGUGAUGACCGCUAUUAUUGGGCCUAAAGCGUCCGUAGCUGGCCAUGCAAGUCCAUCGGGAAAUCCGCGCGCUUAACGCGCGGGCGUCCGGUGGAAACUGCAUGGCUUGGGACCGGAAGACCUGAGGGGUACGUCUGGGGUAGGAGUGAAAUCCCGUAAUCCUGGACGGACCACCGGUGGCGAAAGCGCCUCAGGAAGACGGAUCCGACGGUGAGGGACGAAAGCUCGGGUCACGAACCGGAUUAGAUACCCGGGUAGUCCGAGCUGUAAACGAUGUCUGCUAGGUGUGCCACAGGCUACGAGCCUGUGGUGUGCCGUAGGGAAGCCGUGAAGCAGACCGCCUGGGAAGUACGUCCGCAAGGAUGAAACUUAAAGGAAUUGGCGGGGGAGCACUACAACCGGAGGAGCCUGCGGUUUAAUUGGACUCAACGCCGGACAUCUCACCAGCAUCGACAGUAGCAAUGAAGGUCAGUGUGAUGAGCUUACUGGAGCUACUGAGAGGAGGUGCAUGGCCGCCGUCAGCUCGUACCGUGAGGCGUCCUGUUAAGUCAGGCAACGAGCGAGACCCGCACUCCUAAUUGCCAGCAGUACCCUUGUGGUAGCUGGGUACAUUAGGAGGACUGCCAGUGCCAAACUGGAGGAAGGAACGGGCAACGGUAGGUCAGUAUGCCCCGAAUGUGCUGGGCGACACGCGGGCUACAAUGGCCGAGACAGUGGGAUGCAACCCCGAGAGGGGACGCUAAUCUCCGAAACUCGGUCGUAGUUCGGAUUGCAGGCUGAAACUCGCCUGCAUGAAGCUGGAUUCGGUAGUAAUCGCGCCUCA
Molecule: ribosomal RNA, 1106 nt
Filed under: Natrinema gari
Lineage: Archaea; Methanobacteriati; Methanobacteriota; Halobacteria; Halobacteriales; Natrialbaceae
Description: bacterial SSU rRNA
Rfam family: Archaeal small subunit ribosomal RNA
Source: RNAcentral